GACGAACGCUGGCGGCGUGCUUAACACAUGCAAGUCGAACGGAAAGGCCCUGCUUUUGUGGGGUGCUCGAGUGGCGAACGGGUGAGUAACAAGUGAGUAACCUGCCCUUGACUUUGGGAUAACUUCAGGAAACUGGGGCUAAUACCGGAUAGGAGCUCCUGCUGCAUGGUGGGGGUUGGAAAGUUUCGGCGGUUGGGGAUGGACUCGCGGCUUAUCAGCUUGUUGGUGGGGUAGUGGCUUACCAAGGCUUUGACGGGUAGCCGGCCUGAGAGGGUGACCGGCCACAUUGGGACUGAGGUACGGCCCAGCCUCCUACGUGAGGCAGCAGUGGGGAAUAUUGCACAAUGGGCGGAAGCCUGAUGCAGCACCUCCGCGUGCGGGAUGCCGGCCUUCGGGUUGUAAACCGCUUUCGCCUGUGACGAAGCGUGAGUGACGGUAAUGGGUAAAGAAGCACCGGCUAACUACGG
RNAcentral lists this ribosomal RNA (467 nucleotides) under uncultured bacterium. RNAcentral describes it as "partial 16S ribosomal RNA". It matches the Rfam family "Bacterial small subunit ribosomal RNA", at positions 28 to 506 of the family's 1533-position model. The record is from RNAcentral.